AGAAAGGAAAGCAGUCCGGUUUCGGAUUGAACGGGAAGGGAGUGGAAAGCUUCCGCCGUCCAGCGACUGUGAUCGGGACGAAAGCUCGAAAGAAGGUCACUGCCCAUCCGGGCGGGAAGACCGGAGCGAGUAGGAUGAACGAGAGCCAGGAGACCGGGUCCGAAACCCCAUCAAAC
Molecule: non-coding RNA, 176 nt
Filed under: Elusimicrobiota bacterium
Lineage: Bacteria; Pseudomonadati; Elusimicrobiota
Source: RNAcentral